ACGCGCUUGUUGCAGAUGGACUGUAUGCCUCUCGGGGAAAGGGAAGUAAAUGAGUUUCCUGUGUUGACAUCGGGGUGGUCUUCUCCUUAGCUUGUGAGGAGUCAGUUUCUCACAGCACAGAGGGAGAGAAAGGAAGUCCCAAAAGCCCCCCUACUUCCCUACACAAGGGUGCAAAGCAACAGCUUAGGAGCAAUUGCAACGGAGAGAGGCCACAGGUCGGGGAUGAAUCUGCAGCAUCUUUGGGCUCACAGAGAAUGGGAACAGCCUCUGGGCUUUUUUGCUAAGGAAGAUUCCUGCUCCUUCCUGGAAACCCAGCCUGGGUGCCAACCAGUCUGCACAAAGUGGAUGGGUUGGUACAUGUAGCAGCAGUGUCUGCAGCGCAGAGGCCUAGGACUGUCUUCCGUUAUCAGAAGGGUUGGGCAAAAACAGCCACUGCAAUGAACUGGAUGCCGCCUAGACAUGAGGAAAUGCCUCUGUGAACUGCUCCAGGGAUCUGCCCUACUUUGAAGCCAGACAGAAAAGUGGAUAGAAACUGCCAUCCCGACAAAUCUGCUUAUCGGCUCAACAUGGAAUGACUAUUUUGUUACUCUCAUACUUCCAAGUUAAUCUAGAGACAUAGCUGCUACAAAAUUUAAGAGUAUGUCCUUUUUAUCUUUCUCGUUGUAAGUCAGUGUCCUUUCUUUGUGUCUCCACUAUUUUACGUUAGUCACAAGUUGGCCCUGUGUUAUUCUUACUCUUUCAAAACAACAGCUGAGUCUUUAUUCAAAUUCAACAGAAGAUGAAUCCCAGAGAUAUAUGAGUUUCAUAGAUGAAUUGGAAAGAGACAUGUGUUUGGUCUGCAUUUCUAUGAAAUGAGAAUGAAUAUAUUAAUUCUUCAAAUAAAAGUAAAAAAUGGCUUUGAGUUAACAGAAAGAUGGAUAUUCAUUUUAUAAAAUUUAAUUUCCAAUUACCAUGCUGCGUAUGCAUGGGUAAAUAGGCAAAGAGAUAAGAUUUGCAGUGACAGACUGUAGAAAGAAGAAUCAUCCUACUAAUUCAGACGACAUCUGGGCUAUUCAGACAACAACAGUCAACAUUUAGAAAAUGAGUAUUAAAUUCUUACUGAUUUGUCCAGCUCUAUCAGAGUGUUCAUUUUACUGAAGACAUUUUGGACUUUAAUUUUAAAAUACAGAGCAAGCCUCUCAAGAGUGAAAUCCUUUUUGUAACUGACCAAGUCUAUCUGUCCAGAUUGCAUUUUUAAAAGUAAUACAUAGAAAAAGGAGCAACUGAUAUUUGAACAGCUAGCAAGUUCAUCAAAAUAUUGUUAAAUGUGUAUAACUUUAUUAAAAGCAUCUUCUCCAGCAGUGAAGUUGGAGCCUUGUGACCUGUGCCCGACAGACUGUACUGUGAGCAGAAGCAGUGUGUUUUCCUGAGCUAAGGCAGUUCCCACGAGUGAACCUCCCUGAGCUGUAGAGACCUCGAACAAUGUGUGUUUCAGUUGGCCUACCUGACAAUGGAGAGGGCUAACACACAUCGGACAGGAUGAGUGUGGAAAAUAAUUCAUUCUCACGUUAAUCACUGGAUUUCCGAGUUUGCACUUGCAACCCCUAAUGUUCAAUGCCUUUACUAAUGUAGAUAUUGGAAAUUGAAGUUAGAUGCUACUGUAUCAAAAACAUAAAAUAUAUGCUAUUGGGUCAGUUUCAGAUGUGAAUGGCGAGGUGACUGGUAUUAGAGGAAGAAAAUGUAGUGGUUGGGUCAGGCUAACCCAAAGCAUAAAAGGACAUUGCCACCUGUGAUCAGAAGGGAGGUUAGCCACAUGCUUAUUGUUUUGCAAUUUAGAAAAAGAGCUUGGAAAGAAGUGUGUUUUCUGAAUUGGCUACUAUUGGUGGUAGUUGGCAAGAUGCUGUAGAGGUGAAUUGAGCGGGGAAAAAGUUACCAGCUAGCAAUUAGAAAUCAAAAGGGGCCAGGCGCGGUGGCUCACGCCUGUAAUCCCAGCACUUUGGGAGGCUGAGGUGGGCGGAUCACAAGGUCAGGAGAUCGAGACCAUCCUGGCUAACACGGUGAAACCCUGUCUCUACUAAAAAUACAAAAAAAAAAAAAAAAAAAAAAAUUAGCCAGGCGUGGUGGCGGGUGCCUGUAGUCCCAGCUACUCAGGAGGCUGAGGCAGGAGAAUGGCGUGAACCCAGGAGGCGGAGCUUGCAGUGAGCCGAGAUCGCGCCACUGCACUCCAGCCUGGGCAACAGAGCAAGACUCUGUCUCGAAAAACAAAACAAACAAACGACAAACAAAAACAAAAACAAACAAAAAAAGAAAUUAAAAGGAAUAGGUGAUAUUCAGAAAUUCAGAGAGUAGCCAGGCACAGUGCUCAUGCCUGUAAUACCAGCACUUUAGGAGGCUGCAGCAGAAGGAUCACUUGAGCCUGGGAGGUCCAGGCUACAUUAAGCCAUGAUUGCACCACUGCACUCCAGCCUGGGUAACAGAGCAAGACCCUGUCUAAAAAAAAAAAUAAACAGAAGUAGAAAUUCAGGGACUGGAUAGUUUGGAAAAUCAAGCAAGGCAAACAAAAUACAGGCAUGCCUAAAUAAGUGAAAUAAGCCAGGCACAGAAAGACAAACAUUGCGUCUUCUCACUUAUUUGUGGGAUCUAAAAAUCAAAACAACUGAACAUAUGUCUCAGGGACAUAGAGAAUAGAAGAAUGAUUACCAGAAGCUGGGAAGGGUAGUGAGGGGCUGGGUGAGAGGUGGGGAUGUUAACAGGUAGAAAAAAUAAUAAUUAGAAAGAAUGAAUAAGACCUACCAUUUGAUAGCACAAUAGGGUGACUAUAGUUAAUAAUUUUACAUUUUAAAAUAACUUUAAAAAUGUGAUUGGAUCAUUUGUAACUCAAAGGAUAAAUGCUUGAGGGGAUGGCUACCCCAUUCCCCAUGAUGUGCUUAUUUCGUAUUGCAUGCCUUUAUCAAAAUGUCUCAUGUACCCCAUAAAUAUAUAUACCUACUGUGUACCCACAACUAUUUAAAAAAUAAAAAAUAAAAACAUUUAAAAUAAAAAAAAAAAGACAUUGCAGUCUGGUUGCAGUUCCAGAUACCCACAAAAAAAGCAAAUAGUGCAAUAAAAAAAAUCACAUGAAUUUUUAGUUUUUUCAGUGCAUAUAAAAGUUACUAUAGUCUACUAAGUGUGCAACAGCGUUAUGUCUAAAAUAAUAAUGUACGUAUCUUAAUUUAAAAAUACUUUACUGCUAAAAAUGCUAACAAUCAUCUGAUCCUUCAGCGAGACAUAAUCUGUUUGCUGGUGAAAGGUCUUAUUUCAAUGUUGAUGGCUGCUGACGUCAGCGUGGUGGUUACUAAAGUUGGGGUGACUGUGGCAAUGUCUUAAAAUAAGACAACACUGAAGUUUGCUGCAUCAAUUCACUCUUCCUUUAAUAAAAUAUUUCUUUGUAGCAUGCAAUGCUGUUUGAUAGAAUUUUGCUUACAGGAGAACUUCUUUCAAAAUUGGAGUCAAUCCUUUCAGAUCCUGCCAUUGCUUUAUCAAGCUUCAGGAGCAAAAGGAGCAACAUCUGGAUACAAUGGAGAAGAUAUGAGGAUCACCCACAGAUCUCGGACUUGAGCUAAUUGCAGUAACUGGAUGUAACUUUGGGUUAUCUGCUUUGGGAAGGGAUAUGUGUGUGC
Molecule: long non-coding RNA, 3638 nt
Filed under: Homo sapiens (human)
Lineage: Eukaryota; Metazoa; Chordata; Mammalia; Primates; Hominidae
Description: HSALNT0102614
Source: RNAcentral